AGAGAGAGAAGAAACCCGAAGAAGAAAUAAAGGAAGGCAUUUUGGUUCCCCAUCGGACGGAUCGGAGUUGGCGAGCGGCGGAGGAAACCCUAGCCUACAUCAGAGAAGAAGACCAGGCGGCUACCGAUGGCGGCGCUUCGAGUCGCGGCGAGGAGGCUCGUCGGCGGCGGCCAGACGCCGGCGGUGGCUGUGGACAAGGCGCAGCGCCGGCUCUUCCCGAGGCUCUCCCAGGUCGGCCGGGCUAGGUCCACCACAUCCUCCGCCAAACUCCACCACAUCCUUAUGCUGUGCUAAUAGCUCGUUCGAUAAUCCAACUCCAUGUUUCGCCAAACAGCCAGGGCAUCUCAAAAUUGAAUCCAGAUCUUGUGU
Molecule: long non-coding RNA, 369 nt
Organism: Triticum dicoccoides
Lineage: Eukaryota; Viridiplantae; Streptophyta; Magnoliopsida; Poales; Poaceae
Exons: 2
Source: RefSeq, a predicted model, not a curated record